RNAcentral lists this non-coding RNA (219 nucleotides) under Dethiobacter alkaliphilus. RNAcentral's name for it is "T-box sequence". It matches the Rfam family "T-box leader". From Rfam's summary of the family: Uncharged tRNA acts as the effector for transcription antitermination of genes in the T-box leader family. T-boxes are found upstream of many aminoacyl-tRNA synthetase genes and some amino acid biosynthetic genes usually in Gram-positive bacteria. Lineage: Bacteria; Bacillati; Bacillota; Dethiobacteria; Dethiobacterales; Dethiobacteraceae. The record is from RNAcentral.
CUAAAGGCGAUGACGGGACGAGUACGCCAAUAACCGCACCACAGGAAGGAACGUCGAGACUGAGAGCGUUCUGUGUAGGGUUGGUCGGAAGUUCCUCCCCGAGCAGCCGGCUGAAAAGUUUUUGAGUAGGUCGGUACGGGUAAUCCCGUUACAGAAUCAGAGUGAGUAGGAAUCUGCUAAAGUUGGGUGGUACCGCGGAAGUAUGCUUUCGUCCCUUUU